Molecule: ribosomal RNA, 494 nt
Filed under: uncultured bacterium
Lineage: Bacteria
Description: partial 16S ribosomal RNA
Rfam family: Bacterial small subunit ribosomal RNA
Source: RNAcentral
GACGAACGCUGGCGGCGUGCUUAACACAUGCAAGUCGAACGGUGAAGCGCCUUCCUUUUUGGUGGGUGUGGAUGAGUGGCGAACGGGUGAGUAACACGUGAGUAACCUGCCCCCUUCUUCUGGAUAACCGCAUGAAAGUGUGGCUAAUACGGGAUAUUCUGGGUCUGUCGCAUGAUGGGUCUGGGAAAGAUAUUGUUUCGGUGGGGGAUGGGCUCGCGGCCUAUCAGCUUGUUGGUGGGGUGAUGGCCUACCAAGGCGGUGACGGGUAGCCGGCCUGAGAGGGUGGACGGUCACACUGGGAAUGAGACACGGCUCAGACUCCUACGGGAGGCAGCAGUGGGGAAUAUUGGACAGUGGGCGCAAGCCUGAUGCAGCGACGCCGCGUGAGGGAUGGAGGCCUUCGGGUUGUGAACCUCUUUCGCCAGUGAAGCAGGCCUGCCUGGUUUGUGGGUGGGUUGACGGUAGCUGGAUAAGAAGCGCCGGCUAACUACGUG